UACGUAGGGUGCGAGCGUUGUCCGGAAUUAUUGGGCGUAAAGAGCUUGUAGGCGGUUUGUCGCGUCUGCUGUGAAAAUCCGGGGCUCAACCCCGGACUUGCAGUGGGUACGGGCAGACUAGAGUGUGGUAGGGGAGACUGGAAGUUCCUGGUGUAGCGGUGAAAUGCGCAGAUAUCAGGAAGAACACCCGUGGCGAAGGCGGCUCUCUGGGACGGUACUGACGCUGAGACGCGAAAGCGUGGGGGAGCGAACAG
Molecule: ribosomal RNA, 254 nt
Filed under: uncultured bacterium
Lineage: Bacteria
Description: partial 16S ribosomal RNA
Rfam family: Bacterial small subunit ribosomal RNA
Source: RNAcentral